GGAAGCUCAGUGGCAGAGAAUUUGCUUUGCCUGCAAAAGGUCACAGGUUCAAUCCCUGGCAUCUCCA
This is a non-coding RNA of Podarcis lilfordi (Lilford's wall lizard), 67 nucleotides long. The record is from the annotation of a GenBank genome assembly. Lineage: Eukaryota; Metazoa; Chordata; Lepidosauria; Squamata; Lacertidae.